AUACGUAGGUCCCGAACGUUGCGCGAAAUUACUGGGCGUAAAGGGUCCGUAGGCGGUCUGGUAAGUGGAAGGUGAAAGCCUGGGGCUCAACUCCAGAAUUGCCUUCCAAACUGCCGGACUUGAGGCAGGGAGAGGUCGGCGGAAUUCCCGGUGUAGUGGUGAAAUGCGUAGAUAUCGGGAGGAACACCAGUGGCGAAGGCGGCCGACUGGAACUGUCCUGACGCUGAGGGACGAAAGCCAGGGGAGCGAACCGGAUUAGAGACCCUAGUAGUCC
RNAcentral lists this ribosomal RNA (274 nucleotides) under uncultured bacterium. RNAcentral describes it as "partial 16S ribosomal RNA". It matches the Rfam family "Bacterial small subunit ribosomal RNA", at positions 523 to 796 of the family's 1533-position model. The record is from RNAcentral.